This 473-nucleotide ribosomal RNA is filed under the name uncultured bacterium. Its description in RNAcentral is "bacterial SSU rRNA". It matches the Rfam family "Bacterial small subunit ribosomal RNA", at positions 355 to 844 of the family's 1533-position model. The record is from RNAcentral.
UGGGGAAUCUUGGACAAUGGGGGCAACCCUGAUCCAGCCAUGCCGCGUGAGUGAUGAAGGCCUUAGGGUCGUAAAGCUCUUUCGCCUGUGAAGAUAAUGACGGUAGCAGGUAAAGAAACCCCGGCUAACUCCGUGCCAGCAGCCGCGGUAAUACGGAGGGGGUUAGCGUUGUUCGGAAUUACUGGGCGUAAAGCGCACGUAGGCGGACCAGAAAGUUGGGGGUGAAAUCCCGGGGGCUCAACCCCGGAACUGCCUCCAAAACUAUUGGUCUAGAGUUCGAGAGAGGUGAGUGGAAUUCCAAGUGUAGAGGUGAAAUUCGUAGAUAUUUGGAGGAACACCAGUGGCGAAGGCGGCUCACUGGCUCGAUACUGACGCUGAGGUGCGAAAGUGUGGGGAGCAAACAGGAUUAGAUACCCUGGUAGUCCACGCCGUAAAACGAUGAAUGUUAGCCGUCGGGCAGUAUACUGUUCGGU